Molecule: ribosomal RNA, 396 nt
Filed under: uncultured bacterium
Lineage: Bacteria
Description: bacterial SSU rRNA
Rfam family: Bacterial small subunit ribosomal RNA
Source: RNAcentral
GACGAACGCUGGCGGCGUGCCUAAUACAUGCAAGUCGAGCGGACCAAAGGGAGCUUGCUCCUGGAGGUUAGCGGCGAACGGGUGAGUAACACGUGGGCAACCUGCCUGUAAGACUGGGAUAACAUCGAGAAAUCGGUGCUAAUACCGGAUAAUAAAAAGAACUGCAUGGUUCUUUUUUGAAAGAUGGUUUCGGCUAUCACUUACAGAUGGGCCCGCGGCGCAUUAGCUAGUUGGUGAGGUAACGGCUCACCAAGGCGACGAUGCGUAGCCGACCUGAGAGGGUGAUCGGCCACACUGGGACUGAGACACGGCCCAGACUCCUACGGGAGGCAGCAGUAGGGAAUCUUCCGCAAUGGACGAAAGUCUGACGGAGCAACGCCGCGUGAGUGAUGAAGG